Molecule: ribosomal RNA, 460 nt
Filed under: uncultured bacterium
Lineage: Bacteria
Description: partial 16S ribosomal RNA
Rfam family: Bacterial small subunit ribosomal RNA
Source: RNAcentral
CCUACGGGUGGCAGCAGUGAGGAAUAUUGGUCAAUGGGCGCGAGCCUGAACCAGCCAAGUCGCGUGAAGGAUGACUGCCCUACGGGUUGUAAACUUCUUUUAUAGGGGAAUAAAGUCAGGCACGUGUGCCUUUUUGUAUAUACUUUAUGAAUAAGGAUCGGCUAACUCCGUUCCAGCAGCCGCGGUAAUACGGAGGAUCCGAGCGUUUUCCGGAUUUGUUGGGUUUAAAGGGCGCGUAGAUGGGUUGUUAAGUCAGUUGUGAAAGUUUGCGGCUCAACCGUAAAAUUGCAAUUGAUACUGGCAGACUUGAGUACAGUUGAGGUAGGCGGAAUUCGUGGUGUAGCGGUGAAAUGCUUAGAUAUCACGAAGAACUCCGAUUGCGAAGGCAGCUUACUAAACUGCCACUGACAUUGAUGCUCGAAAGUGUGGGUAUCAAACAGGAUUAGAUACCCUUGUAGUC